AUGGCUGUGCCUCAAUGCCACCGCCAAGGCUGCAGAAUACUGACAAUUCCGCCAGCCUUGGCGCGGGUUCCUCCACAGGGUGCCGGGAGCCCGCCACCUUCCCUCAGCUCGCCUCAGCCCGCGCCCUGCUCUGGCCUGGCCGUUAACAGCCGCCAUGGCGGCAGCACCGCCUGGGACCGUCGGGAAGCCGGCUGGAACCGGCUGCAACCAGCACCAGGCUGCCCGGCUGCAUCCUCCAUCUUGUCUCGCUCUGUCCCCAGUGCCCGGGCGUUCUGGUUUUCAGCGCUCAAAGCCUUUGCUUAUUUGGUUUUCUUGUCCUCCUGUGACCUCUGCAGGACUAAAGCAUUCCCCCUCUGGUUUCACAGUCCUCCUCCUCCCCAACGAGCCCGUAUUGGCAAGAUAUUGCCUUUGGCCUUGUCCUGGAAUCACUUAGACAUUGCCAUGGCCUUGGCUCAUCCCGGUCCAGAUCUGGAAACGGAUGGUGGUGUCCUUUGUUCAGCUGUGCCGAAAUGCCAACCAAGUACUACUGGGACUAGUUUAGGUGGUUAUUUUCCAAGUUUGAGGAAGAAUGUGCAGGGAAGAAGAGUAGGAAUGGAGGCAUCAAGGACUUUGGUUCUUAAGCUGCUGCUCUGUUAA
This 636-nucleotide long non-coding RNA is filed under the name Anser cygnoides (Swan goose). RNAcentral's name for it is "lncRNA (ENSACDG00005003805.1)". The record is from RNAcentral. Lineage: Eukaryota; Metazoa; Chordata; Aves; Anseriformes; Anatidae.